GGUUGGAACGACCGCUAAUACCCCAUAUGCCGAGAGGUGAAAGGAUUUAUUGCCUGAGGAUGAGCUCGCGUCGGAUUAGCUAGUUGGUGGGGUAACGGCUCACCAAGGCGACGAUCCGUAGCUGGUCUGAGAGGAUGACCAGCCACACUGGGACUGAGACACGGCCCAGACUCCUACGGGAGGCAGCAGUGGGGAAUUUUCCGCAAUGGGCGCAAGCCUGACGGAGCAAGACCGCGUGAGGGAAGACGGUCUGUGGAUUGUAAACCUCUUUUGAUAGGGAAGAAGUACUGACGGUACCUAUCGAAUCAGCCUCGGCUAACUCCGUGCCAGCAGCCGCGGUAAUACGGAGGAGGCAAGCGUUAUCCGGAAUUAUUGGGCGUAAAGCGUCCGUAGGUGGUUGGUCAAGUCUGCUGUCAAAGCGCGGAGCUUAACUCCGUAAAGGCAGUGGAAACUGGUCAGCUAGAGUGCGAUAGGGGCAAGGGGAAUUCCCAGUGUAGCGGUGAAAUGCGUAGAUAUUGGGAAGAACACCGGUGGCGAAAGCGCCUUGCUGGGUCUGCACUGACACUGAGGGACGAAAGCUAGGGGAGCGAAUGGGAUUAGAUACCCUCUUA
This 611-nucleotide ribosomal RNA is filed under the name Leptolyngbya sp. LW-1. RNAcentral's name for it is "bacterial SSU rRNA". It matches the Rfam family "Bacterial small subunit ribosomal RNA", at positions 148 to 792 of the family's 1533-position model. The record is from RNAcentral. Lineage: Bacteria; Bacillati; Cyanobacteriota; Cyanophyceae; Leptolyngbyales; Leptolyngbyaceae.